ACCGCUCAGUAACACGUAGUCAACCUAACCUAUGGACGGGAAUAACCUCGGGAAACUGAGAAUAAUGCCCGAUAGAACACUAUACCUGGAAUGGUUUGUGUUCCAAAUGAUUUAUCGCCAUAGGAUGGGACUGCGGCCUAUCAGUUUGUUGGUGAGGUAAUGGCCCACCAAGACUAUUACAGGUACGGGCUCUGAGAGGAGUAGCCCGGAGAUGGGUACUGAGACACGGACCCAGGCCCUAUGGGGCGCAGCAGGCGAGAAAACUUUGCAAUGUGCGAAAGCACGACAAGGUUAAUCCGAGUGAUUUGUGCUAAACGAAUCUUUUGUUAGUCCUAGAAACACUAACGAAUAAGGGGUGGGCAAGUUCUGGUGUCAGCCGCCGCGGUAAAACCAGCACCUCAAGUGGUCAGGAUGAUUAUUGGGCCUAAAGCAUCCGUAGCCGGCUCUGUAAGUUUUCGGUUAAAUCUGUACGCUUAACGUACAGGCUGCCGGGAAUACUGCAAAGCUAGGGAGUGGGAGAGGUAGACAGUACUCGGUAGGAAGUGGUAAAAUGCUUUGAUCUAUCGAUGACCACCUGUGGCGAAGGCGGUCUACCAGAACACGUCCGACGGUGAGGGAUGAAAGCUGGGGGAGCAAACCGGAUUAGAUACCCGGGUAGUCCCAGCUGUAAACUAUGCAAACUCAGUGAUGCAUUGGCUUGUGGCCAAUGCAGUGCUGCAGGGAAGCCGUUAAGUUUGCCGCCUGGGAAGUACGUACGCAAGUAUGAAACUUAAAGGAAUUGGCGGGGGAGCACCACAAGGGGUGAAGCCUGCGGUUCAAUUGGACUCAACGCCGGU
Molecule: ribosomal RNA, 836 nt
Filed under: uncultured archaeon
Lineage: Archaea
Description: bacterial SSU rRNA
Rfam family: Archaeal small subunit ribosomal RNA
Source: RNAcentral